GAGGGUACAGCUCAGUGGUAGAGUACAUGCCUAGCAUGCUGCAGGUCCUGGGUUCAACCCCCAGUAUCGCCA
This 72-nucleotide transfer RNA is filed under the name Camelus bactrianus (Bactrian camel). It matches the Rfam family "tRNA". From Rfam's summary of the family: Transfer RNA (tRNA) molecules are approximately 80 nucleotides in length. Their secondary structure includes four short double-helical elements and three loops (D, anti-codon, and T loops). The record is from Rfam by way of RNAcentral. RNAcentral also lists the same sequence under 2 other names. Lineage: Eukaryota; Metazoa; Chordata; Mammalia; Artiodactyla; Camelidae.